UACGGAGGGGGCUAGCGUUGUUCGGAAUUACUGGGCGUAAAGCGUACGUAGGCGGCUUGAUAAGUUAGAGGUGAAAGCCCGGGGCUCAACUCCGGAAUAGCCUUUAAGACUGUCUCGCUUGAACGUCGGAGAGGUGAGUGGAAUUCCGAGUGUAGAGGUGAAAUUCGUAGAUAUUCGGAAGAACACCAGUGGCGAAGGCGGCUCACUGGACGACUGUUGACGCUGAGGUACGAAAGCGUGGGGAGCAAAC
Molecule: ribosomal RNA, 250 nt
Filed under: uncultured bacterium
Lineage: Bacteria
Description: partial 16S ribosomal RNA
Rfam family: Bacterial small subunit ribosomal RNA
Source: RNAcentral